Molecule: ribosomal RNA, 253 nt
Filed under: uncultured bacterium
Lineage: Bacteria
Description: partial 16S ribosomal RNA
Rfam family: Bacterial small subunit ribosomal RNA
Source: RNAcentral
UACGUGAGCCCCGAGCGUUAUCCGGAAUUACUGGGCGUAAAGUGUGCGUAGGCGGUCAUGUUAGUCUUCUGUUAAAUCCACCGGCUCAACCGGUGAACCCCAGAGGAAACGGCAUGACUUGAGUGUGUGAGAGGUUUGCGGAACUUAUGGUGUAGGGGUGAAAUCCGUUGAUAUCAUAGGGAACACCAAUGGCGAAGGCAGCCCCCUGGGAUAACACUGACGCUCAUGUACGAAAGCGUGGGUAGCAAACAGG